CCGCCCCGUCCCCCGCCGCUCGUCCCCGCCGCGGCCGCGCCGCCUGCAGCAGCAGCAGCUGCUCCUCCCUGGCGGCUGCCCCCCGCGGGUCCCUCACUGGCUGCGGGAGACUCGGAGAUAGAGGGAGGACACUGCCGUGCCGCCCGCACCAGAGACCUUCGUCUCGCCCUGUCGGUCCUCACCCUCUGGUAGGAACAUGGGUAAGUCAUCCUUUCCCCCGUCAUCGCCUGAC
RNAcentral lists this long non-coding RNA (232 nucleotides) under Marmota monax (woodchuck). Lineage: Eukaryota; Metazoa; Chordata; Mammalia; Rodentia; Sciuridae. The record is from RNAcentral.